RNAcentral lists this transfer RNA (542 nucleotides) under uncultured Prochlorococcus sp. RNAcentral's name for it is "partial 16S-23S ribosomal RNA intergenic spacer". The stretch from base 213 to 285 matches the Rfam family "tRNA". Lineage: Bacteria; Bacillati; Cyanobacteriota; Cyanophyceae; Synechococcales; Prochlorococcaceae. The record is from RNAcentral.
CAGGGAGACAACAAAAUGUUUAAUAUUAUUAUUUUGUCACCUUAGGUCGAUCGGUACCUCACGUUCUUUAAAUUAUUAAGAAUUUCAUUUCCUAAGUUUUUCUAGGUCACACCCAUUAUUUUUCCUGGGCCAUUAGCUCAGGUGGUUAGAGCGCACCCCUGAUAAGGGUGAGGUCCCUGGUUCAAGUCCAGGAUGGCCCAUAUCUCUAUGUUGGGGGUAUAGCUCAGUUGGUAGAGCGCCUGCUUUGCAAGCAGGAUGUCAGCGGUUCGAGUCCGCUUACCUCCACUGAUUACCACCUCUUCCAUAAUCUGUAGAAAGGAAAAUUUUUGAGUUGUGAUCAAAAUUCUGAACGAAUCUAGCUUCCUAAUGAACCCAUUAAGAUGCUGGACUCAUUGAAUUAAUUUCAUUGUUUUCAGAGAACCUUGACAACUGCAUAGAUUAUUUUUAAAGACAAUAAGCAUCUUUAAUGAUGCAGAUUUAUUAUUUGUGCGAAUGCAUUAAUAACAAUUCUAUUAAGCUGAUGCUUCAAUUUUGAAGUUAUU